RNAcentral lists this long non-coding RNA (318 nucleotides) under Androctonus crassicauda. The record is from RNAcentral. Lineage: Eukaryota; Metazoa; Arthropoda; Arachnida; Scorpiones; Buthidae.
GGAGUAGUCAGUUCCAUUCAUUUAUAAUAUAGAUUGUUUCUUUGAUUUUUCUCUUUUUAUUCCUGUCAUCAAUUUAAUUUCUUUUCUGUAAAAUAAACAUGAGUUUGUAUAUAAAUAGGCAUCAUAAUUGUUCCACAUAUAGAUUUUUUUCUCUAACCUGGACCUCAUGCACACUUAUUCACGCUAACUCGAAUCAGCCUGAUGAUCACAGAUCCCACAGAUCACUUGUUCCUUUACAUAUAAAUACAGUGGUACCUCAACUUACGAGUUUAAUUCAUUCCAUGAUGGAGCUUGUAACUUGAAUUACUUGUAUGUCAA